RNAcentral lists this ribosomal RNA (377 nucleotides) under uncultured eukaryote. RNAcentral's name for it is "partial 18S ribosomal RNA". It matches the Rfam family "Eukaryotic small subunit ribosomal RNA", at positions 592 to 976 of the family's 1831-position model. The record is from RNAcentral.
CAAUAGCGUAUAUUUAAGUUGCUGCAGUUAAAAAGCUCGUAGUUGGAUUUCGGGUGGGAAUGGCCGGUCCGCCGUUUCGGUGUGCACUUGCUACGCCCACCUUGCUGCCGGGGACGUGCUCUUGAGUUCACGCUCGGGACACGGAGUCGGCGAGGUUACUUUGAGUAAAUUAGAGUGUUCAAAGCAGGCCUACGCUCUGAAUACAUUAGCAUGGAAUAACACGAUAGGACUCUGGCCUAUCUUGUUGCUCUGUAGGACCGGAGUAAUGAUUAAGAGGGACAGUCGGGGGCAUUCGUAUUUCAUUGUCAGAGGUGAAAUUCUUGGAUUUAUGAAAGACGAACUACUGCGAAAGCAUUUGCCAAGGAUGUUUUCAUUAA